Molecule: ribosomal RNA, 429 nt
Filed under: Bacillota bacterium
Lineage: Bacteria; Bacillati; Bacillota
Description: Firmicutes bacterium partial 16S ribosomal RNA
Rfam family: Bacterial small subunit ribosomal RNA
Source: RNAcentral
UGGGGAAUUUUGGACAAUGGGCGAAAGCAUGAUCCAGCAAUGCCGCGUGUGUGAAGAAGGCCUUCGGGUUGUAAAGCACUUUUGUCCGGAAAGAAAUGGCUCUGGUUAAUACCUGGGGUCGAUGACGGUACCGGAAGAAUAAGGACCGGCUAACUACGUGCCAGCAGCCGCGGUAAUACGUAGGGUCCAAGCGUUAAUCGGAAUUACUGGGCGUAAAGCGUGCGCAGGCGGUUGUGCAAGACCGAUGUGAAAUCCCCGAGCUUAACUUGGGAAUUGCAUUGGUGACUGCACGGCUAGAGUGUGUCAGAGGGGGGUAGAAUUCCACGUGUAGCAGUGAAAUGCGUAGAGAUGUGGAGGAAUACCGAUGGCGAAGGCAGCCCCCUGGGAUAACACUGACGCUCAUGCACGAAAGCGUGGGGAGCAAACAGG